GACAGAGGGUGCAAACGUUGUUCGGAUUUACUGGGCGUAGAGCGCGUGUAGGCGGCUUGGCAAGUCGGAUGUGAAAGCCCACGGCUCAACCGUGGAAGCGCAUCCGAAACGGCCUCGCUCGAGUCUCGGAGAGGAAGGUGGAAUGCUUGGUGUAGAGGUGAAAUUCGUAGAUAUCAAGCAGAACACCUGCGGCGAAGGCGGCCUUCUGGACGAUGACUGACGCUGAGACGCGAAAGCGUGGGGAGCAAACAGG
This 253-nucleotide ribosomal RNA is filed under the name uncultured bacterium. RNAcentral's name for it is "partial 16S ribosomal RNA". It matches the Rfam family "Bacterial small subunit ribosomal RNA", at positions 524 to 776 of the family's 1533-position model. The record is from RNAcentral.